This is a long non-coding RNA of Anser brachyrhynchus (Pink-footed goose), 1987 nucleotides long. NCBI's taxonomy places the organism in Eukaryota, Metazoa, Chordata, Aves, Anseriformes, Anatidae. The record is from Ensembl.
AUGGCCGCGGAGCAGCCGCCUCCUGGGCUCCCGGCUGCUUUCCUGGUGCGUGCAGCGGGGAGGAGGCAGGCGCGGAGCAGAACCGGUUCAAACGCUGCACGCACGCCGAGUGCCAAGCCCGGGAUUUCAGAAGAGAGCACCGUGUCAAAUGCAGCGUCAGUGUUCGGGUUUAGAAAAACGAGGUCUCAUUGUGUAAGACUACGAAACGCAGAAAGCAGCUGCACGAUUCCGGCGGUGAUUAACUCCGAGCAAAUCCCGAGAGUCGCCCAACAUCUGCAGCUCCAACUUCCCAAGAAAAGGCAAGCCCGCAACUACUUCCCAGAUCUGGCGAACUCGCUUUCUGCUUUCAUUAAAGCCAGUGAAAGUUUUACUACCGAUUCCUAUCUCGGCGAGAUAAGGGGUUUUCUGUGCUGGAACACGAGGCCCGAGAGCCCCGCUCCUUUCUGGGGCACGCAGACGACAACCUAUCUGCAGAAACACAAGCCUUCUGAGAGCGCUGCUAAACAAUCUGGCCAGUACUGUCGGGGCGAGUUUCCGUGCUAAUUACAGACUGCUUCGGAAGUCCCUCUUCUCUGCCCCCGAGGGGACGGCUCGCGCUGAGAUCUUUGCCCUGGUAGGGGGAUGAAGCGAGACGGCCCGUGGUGGGGAUUUACGGGGCCGCCCCGCGGACUUCCGGAGCGGUCUGAAUUUGCUUUUGCAAUGAGCCUCAUCGCAAGACGAUGCAUCUGGGAAGAAAGCACGCUCCCGGCCGGAAGAGCCGUGGCGCUCGCCGUCUCCCCGGCGGGCCGAGGAUCUGAAGAACACUCGGGGGUAUUGUGGAGCCGCCGCCGCCCGCCUGCCUGCGUCUCCCACGGCUCUGCGCUGCAGAGGAACUUCUCGUGACCUGGGCUCAAGUAUUCCGAGUAUUUGGAGGAACACAGCCGAAGAAACGAACUUGCAGCGUUCAUAAAGGAGUUGUUACACGGCCACAGAGAGAGAUCUGAAACAGCAGCCGUGCCUGAAACGCAAUGGCUGUGUUAAAACUUAGUGCUGCUGAGGGGUUAGGGAUGCUGGCGGUGAUGCCGAUCAGCAGCGAUUGCUGUCUGGGGGCCCUCGAUGCCUCUGAGGAGCACGAGUGCUUCAUUAGCAAGAAAAAGGUGGUCCCAUCAGCUGUGCGAUCACACAAGCCUGCCUCACUGCAAGGCUCAGCCCUCACAAGGUGCUUCCCUUCCGAAUUUAUUUGCCACUUUAGCGCUGGAUUAAAGACACCCCAAAUUCCGGUAAUACACCCAGCGCAAGGAUGAAACACGGGAUUGAGGAGUCAUUAACCGCAUGCUAAUCCCUUAAUCCCAUCCCGUGGUACAGGAGCAGCACGAAAUACCGCUGCCGCCCGGCACUCGGUAUUUACUCGCAGGAUUUUACCCCUAAACAAACUUACGAGCGAGAUAAAUGCAAACGAGCAGCUUGUUAGGAUGCUACCAGCCCCGAGAAGCGCCGGCGAGCAGCCUGACGGAUCGCUCCCAACCCGGCGCGACACGCGGCGCUACCCACACCGCGUGCUGUUCGCCGGGGCCGGCCUCCUCCGGGGGCAGCCGAGCACCCUCCUGGGGCCUCCCCGUCCCGCUGCAGCCCCCCUGCAGCGCGGUGCCAGGCCCCGGUGCCGGUCCCGGCCUCGCCGUCGCCCUCACGCGAGGCCUCCGGCGCACACGCGGCCGGCGGGGCGAGGCCGUGCGGGCGACGCCGCGGGGGCUGUGCAGCCACGCCGGGCGGGCAAGGCACGUUUGCCCUUUUUUUUUUAUUGCCCCAAACCGAGCAAAUCUCAGCGUGGGGCUGAACUUCGAAGUCCGUGCCGUUAGCGAGGCGAGCCCGUAGUCGCAGCCCGCUGCCAGCCCCGCGCAGCCUUCCCCGCGGCCCCAGCACGCGGCGCUCCCCCACCCGGGGCCCCUCGCGGAGGCGGCAGAGCGAGGCCGGGACGGGAAAAAAAGAAUAAAAUAAAUAAAAAGCAGCA